UGUAUGGAGAGUUUGAUCCUGGCUCAGAACGAACGCUGGCGGCGUGCUUAACACAUGCAAGUCAGGGAGAAAGUCUCUUCGGGGAUGAUUAAACCGGCGCACGGGUGAGUAACACGUGAGUGACCUGCCUUUUAGACUGGAACAACUUACCGAAAGGUGAGCUAAUGCCGGAUGAGUUAUAUAAGUGCAUGUUUAUAUAGGAAAAGUUGGGGAGACCUGACGCUGAAAGAUGGACUCGCGUCCCAUUAGCUAGUUGGUAGGGUAAUGGCCUACCAAGGCGACGAUGGGUAGCCGGCCUGAGAGGGUGGCCGGCCACACUGGGACUGAGACACGGCCCAGACUCCUACGGGAGGCAGCAGUGGGGAAUUUUGCGCAAUGCUCGUAAGAGUGACGCAGCGACGCCGCGUGAAUGACGAAGGCCUUCGGGUCGUAAAGUUCUUUCGACAGGGAAGAAAAUGCCUAUAAGUAACUGUGUAUGUAUUGACGGUACCUGUAUAAGCAGCCCCGGCUAACUCCGUGCCAGCAGCCGCGGUAAUACGGAGGGGGCGAGCGUUGUUCGGAGUGACUGGGCGUAAAGAGCACGUAGGCGGUGUUGUAAGUCAUUAGUCAAAGACUAGAGCUCAACUUUAGUAAGGCUAGUGAUACUAUAAUACUAGAGUAUCAGAGAGGAUUGCAGAAUUCCUGGUGUAGCGGUGAAAUGCGUAGAUAUCAGGAGGAAUACCGUUAGCGAAGGCGGCAAUCUGGCUGGAAACUGACGCUGAGGUGCGAAAGCGUGGGUAGCAAACAGGAUUAGAUACCCUGGUAGUCCACGCUGUAAACGAUGGAUGCUAGGUGUUGGGCUUUUAAGUUCAGUGCCGCAGCAAACGCGAUAAGCAUCCCGCCUGGGGAGUACGUUUGCAAGAAUGAAACUCAAAGGAAUUGACGGGGGCCCGCACAAGCGGUGGAGCACGUGGUUUAAUUCGAUGCUAACCGAAGAACCUUACCUGGGUUUGACAUCCACAGAAGGCGUUAGAGAUAAUGCUGUGCCUGAUUUAUCAGGAGCUGUGAGACAGGUGCUGCAUGGCUGUCGUCAGCUCGUGCCGUGAGGUGUUGGGUUAAGUCCCGCAACGAGCGCAACCCCUAUUUCCAGUUGCUAACGGUUGAAGCUGAGCACUCUGGAGAGACUGCCAGCGAUAAGCUGGAGGAAGGUGGGGACGACGUCAAGUCAUCAUGGCCCUUAUGUCCAGGGCUACACACGUGCUACAAUGGCAUAAUCAGAGGGAAGCAUCUCCGCAAGGAUAAGCGAAUCUCAUAAAUUAUGUCUCAGUUCAGAUUGCAGUCUGCAACUCGACUGCAUGAAGUCGGAAUCGCUAGUAAUCGCAGAUCAGCAAAGCUGCGGUGAAUACGUUCCCGGGCCUUGUACACACCGCCCGUCACACCACGGGAGUCGGUCGCGCCUGAAGCCGGUGGCCUAUCAGUAAUGGGGGAGCCGUCUAUGGCGAGAUUGGUAACUGGGGUGAAGUCGUAACAAGGUAGCCGUACCGGAAGGUGUGGCUGGAUCACCUCCUUU
Molecule: non-coding RNA, 1549 nt
Organism: Mucispirillum schaedleri ASF457
Lineage: Bacteria; Pseudomonadati; Deferribacterota; Deferribacteres; Deferribacterales; Mucispirillaceae
Source: Rfam